RNAcentral lists this ribosomal RNA (433 nucleotides) under uncultured bacterium. Its description in RNAcentral is "partial 16S ribosomal RNA". It matches the Rfam family "Bacterial small subunit ribosomal RNA", at positions 29 to 507 of the family's 1533-position model. The record is from RNAcentral.
AGCGAACGCUGGCGGCAGGCCUAACACAUGCAAGUCGAACGAACUCUUCGGAGUUAGUGGCGGACGGGUGAGUAACACGUGGGAACGUGCCUUUAGGUUCGGAAUAACUCAGGAAACCUGUUCCGAAAACCGAUGUGGCCUUCGGGGGGAAAGAUUUAUCGCCUUUAGAGCGGCCCGCGUCUGAUUAGUUAGUUGGGGAGGUAAAGGGUAACCAAGGCGACGAUCAGUAGCUGUUCUGAGAGGAUGAUCAGCCACAUUGGGACUGAGACACGGCCCAACCUCCUACGGGAGGCAGCAGUGGGGAAUCUUGCGCAAUGGGCGAAAGCCUGACGCAGCCAUGCCGCGUGAAUGAUGAAGGUCUUAGGAUUGUAAAAUUCUUUCACCGGGGACGAUAAUGACGGUACCCGGAGAAGAAGCCCCGGCUAACUUCGUG